CCUUUUUUCUUCCUUUUUUUUUUUUUCUUAUUUUUUUUUUACCCGCUGCGCUCGGGCUCCGGAUCCGCUCAGCGUCGGUGACAGCAGCCGAGAGGAGCCGGGCGGCGCUCCCGGCGCGGGGCUGGGGAUGGCGAGCCCCGCUGUGCUGGGGCUGCUGCCCCCCCUGAGCUCCCCGCCCGGCCCCAACCUGAACAACAACAACAACAACAACCAGGGCGUCAGGAAGUGCGGGUACCUGCGCAAGCAGAAGCACGGCCACAAGCGCUUCUUCGUGCUGCGCGGCCCGGGCGGCGGCGGGGAGGAGGCGGGGGGUGCCCGGCUGGAGUACUACGAGAGCGAGAAGAAAUGGAGGAACAAGUCCGGGGCGCCCAAGCGGGUGAUCGCCCUGGACUCCUGCCUCAACAUCAACAAGCGGGCGGACGCCAAGCACAAGUACCUCAUCGCCCUCUACACCAAGGACGAGUACUUCGCUGUGGCGGCCGAGAACGAGCAGGAGCAGGAGGGCUGGUACAGGGCUCUCACCGACCUGCUCAACGAGGGCAAGGCGGCCUGCCAGGGGUCUCCCUACCGCCACCUCGCCUCCCCCUUCUCCGCCUCCUGCGGCGCGGCCGCCGCCUCCCUGGCCGCCGCCGGCGAAGACCUUAACUACGGGCUGAUCGCUCCGGCCACCGCUGCCUACCGAGAGGUCUGGCAGGUGACGCUGAAGCCCAAGGGCUUGGGGCAGAGUAAAAACCUCACCGGCGUCCACCGGCUCUGCCUCUCGGCCCGCACCAUUGGGUUCGUGCGCCUCAAUUGCGAGCUGCCCUCGGUCACACUGCAGCUGAUGAACAUCCGCCGCUGCGGCCACUCCGACAGCUUCUUCUUCAUCGAGGUGGGGCGCUCGGCCGCCACCGGCCCCGGCGAGCUCUGGAUGCAAGCGGACGACUCGGUGGUGGCCCAGAACAUCCACGAGACCAUCCUGGAAGCCAUGAAGGCGCUGAAGGAGCUGUCCGAGUUCCGGCCCCGCAGCAAGAGCCAGUCCUCCUCCUCCUCUUCCUCCGGGGGGGCAGGCGGGCUCGGCGGCAGCGGCGCCUCCGCCACCCACCCCAUCACCGUGCCCGGUCGCCGGCACCACCACCUGGUCAACCUGCCUCCCAGCCAGACCGGCCUCCUCCGCCGUUCCCGCACCGACAGCCUCGCCGCCGGCGCCGGCACCAAGUCCACGCCGUGCCGGGUGAGAACGGCCAGCGAGGGCGACGGCUGCCGGGUGGGCUCCGCGGCCGGCAGCCCCAUGAGCCCGGGCCCCGUGCGGACCCCCCUGAGCCGCUCGCACACGCUCAGCGGCGGCGGAGGGCGGCAGGCGGGGAAGCUGCUCCCGGUGCUGGCCGGCGGUGGCGGCGGCGGGCUGCAGAGCAGCCGUUCCAUGUCCAUGCCCGCCUCCCACUCGCCCCCCUCCGCCACCAGCCCCAUCAGCCUCUCCUCCAGUAGCGGCCUCGGCUCCGAGCCUGCCCACCCGCAUCACCCGCAGCGCCCGUCCAGCGGCAGCGCCUCCGUGUCCGGCUCCCCCAGCGACGCCGGCUUUAUGUCCUUCGACGAGUACGGCUCCAGCCCAGGCGGCGACCUCCGGCCCUUCUCCUCCUCCUCCACUGCCAGCAACCGCAGCAACACCCCCGAGUCGGUGGCCGAGACCCCCCCAGUGCGGGACCCGGGGGGCGGCACCGACCUUUACGGCUACAUGGCGAUGGAGCGGCCCCCGAGUGGCCGCCUGUGCUACCGGCCCUGCCCCGACGCUGCCAGCGACAGGUGCCAUCGGAAGCGGACCUACUCCCUGACCACGCCGUGCCGGCAGCGACCCGCCGCGCCGCAGGUUUCCUCCGCCUCCCUCGACGAGUACACGCUGAUGCGCGCCACCUUUGCCGGCAGCGCCGGCCGCCUCUUCCCCUCCUGCCAGGUCGGGGCUUCCCCCAAAGUGACCUACACCCCCUACCCCGAGGACUACGGGGACAUCGAGAUCGGUUCUCACCGCAGCUCCGGCAGCAGCAGCACCAAUCUGGGCCCGCCGGCAGUGGGGGGAGGAGGGGGAGAUGAUGACGGCUACAUGCCCAUGACCCCCGGUGUGGCCGCAGCCUUAGGACAGGGAAGCCGGGGCAGCGAUGAUUACAUGCCCAUGAGCCCCACCAGCGUGUCUGCCCCCAAGCAGAUCCUGCAGCCCCGGGUAGGGGUGGGUAGUGGGUCCCCUGGGAACGGGAGCAGCUACAAGACCAGCUCCCCUGGGGAGAGCUCCCCUGACGAUAGCGGGUACAUGCGGAUGUGGUGCGGCUCCAAGUUGUCUGUGGAGAGCUCAGAUGGAAGGCUGAGUAACGGCGACUAUAUCAACAUGUCCCCUCGGGAACCCCAGAAUGGGCCCCAAGCUCCCUCCCUCACCCCCCCAGACUUCUUUUUUGCCCCUUCAGGGCAUGGGUCCAGCGAGCCCCCAAAGCCCAGCUGCUAUUCAUACAGCUCCUUACCCCGCUCGUACAAGAGCCAGGGCUUGGCAAAGGACAGCGACCAGUAUGUGUUCAUGAACUCCCCGGGGAGGAUGAUCCCGGAGGAGGCAGUGUGUGGAGCGAGCCAGUUCCCUGCAGGUAGCUUCUCUCCCUGCAGCCACACGGUGCCUUCGCCCCUGCGGCACAGCCGGACCGAGAGCUUCCUAAGCCAGCGGUGCCAGCGGGUGGCCCGGCCCAGCCGCCUCUCUUUGGAGACCUUGCGGACGAUGCUGCCCAGCAUGAACGAGCACCCUCUGCCGCCUGAGCCCAAGAGCCCUGGUGAAUACAUCAACAUUGACUUCGGGGAUGCUGCUGUCUAUUCUCCCCCCUCGCUACCUGCUGACAGCCCAGCCUCCUCCCUGGGCUCAGGCACAGGGCAGAGGCGCUCCCCUCUCUCUGACUACAUGAACAUUGACUUCGGGUCACAGUCACCCUCCCAGUCGGGCACAGUCUCAGUGGGCUCGUUGGAAGCUCUCUCUCCAGGUUCUUCCUCCAGCACCAGCCAGCCCAGUGGGCGCUACCUGAAGGCAGCUGUGGGGGUGGCUUGUUCAUCCAGCCCAUCGGAUGGUGGUGAUUACACUGAAAUGACCUUUGGCAUGGCCACUACCCCACCUCAACCCAUCGUUCAGAAACCAGAAAGUGCCCGGGUCACCAGCCCCACAUCUGGCAUGAAGAGGCUCACCCUCUCUGGGGUGGAAGCUUUCAUUCUCUCCAGCCCUCCCCCAGACCCGAAUCGGGGGGCCAAAGUAAUCCGGGCAGAUCCCCAGGGGCGGAGGAGGCACAGCUCAGAAACUUUCUCCUCCACCACCACUGUGACCCCAGUGUCCCCCUCCUUCGCACACAACCCCAAACGACACAACUCAGCCUCGGUGGAGAACGUGUCCCUCAGGAAAAGUGAAGGCCUGGAAGAGGAGCAGGGUAGCAGUCCCAUGUGCCGGGAGACCUCGGCUGGCUUCCAGAAUGGCCUCAACUACAUUGCCAUUGAUGUGGUGGAUGGGUCCCUGGCAAACUGUGACAAGUCCAGGUUGAAAGCUAGGCACCUACUGAAUGGGGGCAUCAAUGGAGUAGAGAUGAGCACCUAUGCCAGCAUAGACUUUCUGUCUCACAACCUGAAAGAAGCCAGUGCUGUGAAAGGAAGUACAGGAAGAUGGAAAAGAUGAGAGAUCCACCGUUUGCAGAGCAAGCUUUGAACCUUAUUAAGACGAGAGGAUUGUUGAAUGCAAUGUCAGAGUUUGAAAAGCUGAAGGCUUAUUCUGAAUGACUGGAAGGGUUGAGGGCCGAGCCUUAUUUGUCUCUUGCUUUUAGUUUUGCUGGGGUCGCUUUCAGGAUCCUUGCGGCUUGCCCGAGCCCGGUGCGGAUGCUGCAGCCCCCGCUCUCCUUGCCCGGCCUUGGGAUGGCGGGCCCGGGCGCCAGCGGGCCAGCGCGCCCCUUUUGCUUUGCAAACGGAAUUUUCGCAGAAACGAGGAGCUUGUCUUGAGCCACCUACAACCCCAAUUGCAAAUGAAGCCCGGUGUUGGGAAAGAGCGAUUUCCACAGCGUUCCCCGAAGUGCUGACCCGAAGGGAGGGUGGGGGGCGGGCCCCGGUUACCGGGAAAACCCGGCGCGGGAGCGCGGCAGGCGGCGCGCGGGAAUGGGAGCGGCGGGCGGUCAGAUAAGGAGAGGGGAACGACCGCUGUCCUUCCCAUCCUGUAAACAAAAGGAUAAUGCAGGGAACGCAGCCGUGCUAAUGUGGUACGCGGCUUACAGCCGAGAGGGCUCCGUGCUGCUGCUGCGUGUGUUUGUCCAAGGACGGUUAUAGGCUUGUCUUAUUUUAAUAUUUAAUCUGCAUGUGUGUUUGUUUUUCCUCUUUCCCGUAAGCUUCUAAACGCAGAUCACAUGGAGGAGUGGUGCGGGGAGGCUCGUUGGGAUUGACCCUAUCUGUAGGAGGUGGGCUGUCUGCUCCAGCACCUCGCUUCCCUGAGAAGGGUGCCAGCCUGUAGGGUGCACUCAGAGAGUGAAGGAAUUAGUUUUCUCACCAUGACCUCAAACAACAGAGUACAACAUUCAAAGAAGCUGCUCGGCAUAUACCUUUUUGUUUAUUUGUUUUUUUGGUUUUUGUUUUUGGUAACUGAAGCUGCUUAACGUUUACUUUUUAUUGUUGUUACUGUUGGCCCUAACAGUUGCUUAACUGUUGUGGGCUAAACCGUGCAACAAAUCUGGGAGGAAGGGAAGGCAACCUGCCUAACUCAGUACCUGUCCAUGGCAUCUGUGUUACCAUUUUGCUGCUGUUUCGACAGAAGUUGGAGAUGCUCUUUAAAUCAUAGGAACUUUUCUGCUGGCCUCUUUAAGUAAUGGCCAAUGCCUUCAUUUUCUUUUUCUUCAAGGAAAAACUGUAUUUAUUCUCUGGCAUAUUAGGGGAUUCUGUAACACGUGCUGAAGCAGCAAGAUCUGGUAUUUACUGGCAUAAUUUCAAGCCUACGACAGUCCUACCUCAGUUCAAAGUAAAGCCGGAUUUGCAGUGUUGGUGUACGACAGGAACUCCUUUAUCUCUGUGCUGAGUUUCUCCAGAACGGUCGCCAGCCUUACUGAACUUGUACAGCUGCUGCUGCUGCUGGGUUUUGCAUCACUAGCCGCAGGGUUUACUUCUCAGACAAAGCCUAAGUAGGGCACUGAAAAGUCUAAAACGGGAUGAAACUCUGUGAAUCAGACUUGGACAGAGGAUUCAGAGUAGUUAAAAAGUAUAAAAUGUAUAACUGAAGCAACAUAAGUUAAAAACAUCAACCUGUAUUAGGGAUAUCUUUGUACCUUUGACACACUUGUUUAAUCCUCUCUAUGUAGGUGUUUAUGUAGGUACUUCAGAUUGCAAAAGCCUUUUCUUCUAUUUACAAGCUCACUUUCGUCAGCUAACUGUUCUUAGCUGCAUUUCUUGUAACCAAAAAUCCACAUAAGCAUGCUAGGAAUGCAGGGAUGAUAAUGGGUAUCAGGCAGAUUCAAGAGCUAAUGUUAACACAGUAUUAUCUUGCCAUCUAUAAAGUCCUGAUAUUUGCCUUUACCAAGAAAAAGCACCAUUGUAGCUGCAGGCACUAUUACAGGGAAGAACCAUUGCAGUCACUUAUCCUGAGUUCUUUUCAAGGCUAACUGUGCAUCACAUUUUCAGUGGCCUGAAAAUCUGAGUGGUGUGGCAGCUGCUGUCACAAAAGUCACAUACAACUGUUGCACCAGACUAGCAGAAUGUCAUGCCACCUUGCUUCUCCUUUGAUUGAAGUGUUUGUGUACAUUUUAAGGGUACCCCACCAGUGCCUGCUCUGAUACACAUGUAAGUAUUACUGAGUUAGGAGUUAUGUGAGGCUUUUUUUUUUUUUUUUUUUUUUUUUUUUUUUUUUUUUUUUUUUUUUUUUUUGUCUUUAAUCAUUGUGCUUGGUGGAACCCAUACUUCACUAUUGACAAUACAUUAUCUUCUUUUGGGAUUUUUUUUAAGGAAGACAAGAGUCCAUGUCUUACAAAUACAAUGAACGGCAAUGCAGUCUUCCUGCUUACAUGCUGAUUUUUUAGAACUGAGGAUUGUAUUACAAGACAAAGAUGAAUGUAAACUAAUUCCUUCCCUACUCCAUGGCUCACUUUAUUUUUCUGUGUAAUUUUUGGGGUCUUAAAUCACAGCAAUGCAUAAUACAAUAUUAGAUCUAAAAUCAAUUUAAAUACCUGAUCUGAUUCAGUUUUUCUCUAAUACUAAUGCUAUAAAUGAUUCUAAGACAUUCUAAAAUGCUGCUUGUUCAAGUCUGGAACUAAAAAACCUGCAUCCCUUUGACAUUUUCUGUCUGACCCCUCCCCACCCCCUGCCAGCACUGAGUGUGGUACCUGCUGAAUUCAGUGUUUUGAACACCUCUAUUUUCAAAUAUCUCUCUGUAUCAAUUAAGAAAUCAUGCCACUAAAACAAAUGGCUAAACUGCAUACAGUAACUUUAAAAAAAAAAUAAAAAAACCCAACAAAAUAACCUGACAAAAUAAUAAAAUAUUCUCUAUCCUGUAUAUUUCACAAAGGCAUAUGCAAUACUUACAUUCUUAAUUUAGUUUACAGAAUGGAACCAAAAUGUAUAAAUGUUAUGUUUGCUAAAACUUCACAAUGUAUAUUGGGUCUUUGUACAUUUUGCCUGACUUACCUUAAAUUUAAAAUAUUUUUUGCUAUAUAACCUUAACAGUUACUAAGCAGUGUUUUCUUUUUGGGUACGUAUUGUUUCUGGAUAUCAAGAUGUUAAAUAUAUUUCUUGCUAUUGUGAUAUGACAAGAGACUUAUCUUGCUGUGUCUUCCAAUGUACACGCUGUAUAUAAGGAUAAAUGUGAUGCUGCUGGAGACCAGAAUAAAUGGAACUAGAGUAGUGUAUUGUAUUUAGUCUGUAUUGAUCAUGGAUGCUCUCCUUAAUAGCCAUAUGCAAUAAAAUACGUUAUUUAUGAAAGGAGUAAA
Molecule: RNA transcript, 6941 nt
Organism: Prinia subflava (tawny-flanked prinia)
Lineage: Eukaryota; Metazoa; Chordata; Aves; Passeriformes; Cisticolidae
Gene: IRS2
Gene name: insulin receptor substrate 2
Exons: 3
Source: RefSeq, a predicted model, not a curated record